CCUACGGGWGGCWGCAGUAGGGAAUCUUCCGCAAUGGGCGAAAGCCUGACGGAGCAACGCCGCGUGAGUGAUGAAGGUUUUCGGAUCGUAAAGCUCUGUUGCCAGGGAAGAACGCUUGRGAGAGUAACUGCUCUUGAGGUGACGGUACCUGAGAAGAAAGCCCCGGCUAACUACGUGCCAGCAGCCGCGGUAAUACGUAGGGGGCAAGCGUUGUCCGGAAUUAUUGGGCGUAAAGCGCGCGCAGGCGGCUCUUUAAGUCUGGUGUUUAAUCCCGAGGCUCAACUUCGGGUCGCACUGGAAACUGGRGAGCUUGAGUGCAGAAGAGGAGAGUGGAAUUCCACGUGUAGCGGUGAAAUGCGUAGAGAUGUGGAGGAACACCAGUGGCGAAGGCGACUCUCUGGGCUGUAACUGACGCUGAGGCGCGAAAGCGUGGGGAGCAAACAGGAUUAGAUACCCCUWGUAGUCA
This 466-nucleotide ribosomal RNA is filed under the name Paenibacillus polymyxa. RNAcentral describes it as "bacterial SSU rRNA". The record is from RNAcentral. Lineage: Bacteria; Bacillati; Bacillota; Bacilli; Caryophanales; Paenibacillaceae.